AAUUUUGGACAAUGGGGGAAACCCUGAUCCAGCCGUCCCGCGUGUAUGAUGAAGGCCUUCGGGUUGUAAAGUACUUUUGGCAGAGAAGAAAAGGUAUCCCCUAAUACGGGAUACUGCUGACGGUAUCUGCAGAAUAAGCACCGGCUAACUACGUGCCAGCAGCCGCGGUAAUACGAAGGGUGCAAGCGUUAAUCGGAAUUACUGGGCGUAAAGCGCGCGUAGGUGGUUCGUUAAGUUGGAUGUGAAAGCCCCGGGCUCAACCUGGGAACUGCAUCCAAAACUGGCGAGCUAGAGUACGGUAGAGGGGGGUAGAAUUCCACGUGUAGCAGUGAAAUGCGUAGAUAUGUGGAGGAAUACCGAUGGCGAAGGCAGCCCCCUGGGAUAAUACUGACGCUCAGACACGAAAGCGUGGGGAGCAAACAGG
RNAcentral lists this ribosomal RNA (424 nucleotides) under uncultured bacterium. RNAcentral describes it as "partial 16S ribosomal RNA". It matches the Rfam family "Bacterial small subunit ribosomal RNA", at positions 360 to 776 of the family's 1533-position model. The record is from RNAcentral.